Molecule: unclassified non-coding RNA, 265 nt
Filed under: uncultured fungus
Lineage: Eukaryota; Fungi
Description: partial contains small subunit ribosomal RNA, internal transcribed spacer 1, and 5.8S ribosomal RNA
Rfam family: Eukaryotic small subunit ribosomal RNA (bases 1-46)
Source: RNAcentral
AAGUCGUAACAAGGUUUCCGUAGGUGAACCUGCGGAAGGAUCAUUACACAUAGCGAGAGUCCGGAAGAUAGUCCCCCUGUAGCAAAAAUUACGGGGGGUAGGACUCUUGCCCCGAGCAAUCGGGUCACCCUGCUUUUUGGGCACCAUUUGUUUCCUCGGCGGGCUUGCCCGCCAACGGGGACCCCCUAAAACCUCUGUAAUGAGUAGUAACUGUCAGUAAAGAUAAAAAUUAUCACAACUUUCAACAAUGGAUCUCUUGGCUCUG